RNAcentral lists this long non-coding RNA (574 nucleotides) under Homo sapiens (human). RNAcentral describes it as "non-protein coding lnc-WDR83OS-3:2". The record is from RNAcentral. Lineage: Eukaryota; Metazoa; Chordata; Mammalia; Primates; Hominidae.
GAGAAACUGAACCUAUGGGAUGCAUGAAUGUGCACACAUGUGUGGAAGUGUGGGCCCCCAGGAAGGUGCGGACUCCCGAGGGCUCACUCCGUCGCCUCCCCCAGCAGCAGGCAAAAGGAAGCAGUGUCCAUGUUCUCUACUCCACCCCCGCUUGUUACCUCUGGGAGCUGAACAAGGCCAACCUCACCUGGUAUUUGGGGAAACUGGGGAGCUUGGGGGGGUUGGCAUGCCCCGUGGGUCAUGACCCUGCCCUCAAUGCCCCUGCCGCUGUAGGUCAGUGAAACAUGACGACUUCUUCCCUUACGCGGAUGGCCCCCACCAGUUCUGGACCGGUUACUUUUCCAGUCGGCCGGCCCUCAAACGCUACGAGCGCCUCAGCUACAACUUCCUGCAGGUGUGCAACCAGCUGGAGGCGCUGGUGGGCCUGGCGGCCAACGUGGGACCCUAUGGCUCCGGAGACAGUGCACCCCUCAAUGAGGCGAUGGCUGUGCUCCAGCAUCACGACGCCGUCAGCGGCACCUCCCGCCAGCACGUGGCCAACGACUACGCGCGCCAGCUUGCGGCAGGCUGGGGG